This 467-nucleotide ribosomal RNA is filed under the name uncultured ciliate. RNAcentral's name for it is "SSU rRNA". It matches the Rfam family "Eukaryotic small subunit ribosomal RNA". The record is from RNAcentral. Lineage: Eukaryota; Ciliophora.
AUUUGUCUGGUUAAUUCCGAUAACGAACGAGACCUUAACCUGCUAACUAGUUCUCAAUACUCUGUAUUCUGCAACUUCUUAGAGGGACUAUGUAAAUCAAUUACAUGGAAGUUUGAGGCAAUAACAGGUCAGUGAUGCCCUUAUAUGUCCUGGGCUGCACGCGUGCUACACUGAUGCAUACAACAAGUGCCUAGCCAGACAUGGUAUGGCAAUCUCGAAUAUGCAUCGUGAUGGGGAUAGAUCUUUGCAAUUAUAGACCUUGAACGAGGAAUUCCUAGUAAGUGCAAGUCAUCAUCUUGCAUUGAUUAUGUCCCUGCCCUUUGUACACACCGCCCGUCGCUCCUACCGAUACCGGGUGAUCCGGUGAACCUUUUGGACUCCGUACGGGGGAAGAUAAGUAAACCAUAUCACCUAGAGGAAGGAGAAGUCGUAACAAGGUUUCCGUAGGUGAACCUGCRGAAGGAUCA